CCUACGGGACGCAGCAGUGGGGAAUCUUCCGCAAUGGGCGAAAGCCUGACGGAGCAACGCCGCGUGAGGGAUGAAGGUUUUCGGAUCGUAAACCUCUGUCAGGAGGGAAGAAAGCGCAUGGCGCCAAUCAGCCAUGCGUUGACGGUACCUCCAAAGGAAGCGCCGGCUAACUCCGUGCCAGCAGCCGCGGUAAUACGGAGGGCGCGAGCGUUAAUCGGAAUUACUGGGCGUAAAGCGCGCGUAGGCUGUUGUGUAGGUUGGGGGUGAAGUCCCACGGCUCAACCGUGGAACAGCC
RNAcentral lists this ribosomal RNA (295 nucleotides) under uncultured bacterium. Its description in RNAcentral is "partial 16S ribosomal RNA". It matches the Rfam family "Bacterial small subunit ribosomal RNA", at positions 338 to 625 of the family's 1533-position model. The record is from RNAcentral.